This 2482-nucleotide long non-coding RNA is filed under the name Solanum tuberosum (potato). RNAcentral describes it as "long non-coding RNA (STUB_LNC002118)". Lineage: Eukaryota; Viridiplantae; Streptophyta; Magnoliopsida; Solanales; Solanaceae. The record is from RNAcentral.
CCUAUUGUCCUAGUAUAUUCACCAGUAUUAUCUGAUCACUGUUAAUAAUACAGGUGCAACUCAAUAAAAUUAAAAAUUAGUGACCUAAAGUCAAAUUAUAUAGAUACGUGUUAAUCUACUGAUAUAACUCAAUAAAAUUAGUGGCCUAAAGUCAAAUUAUAUAGAUACAUGAAAAUAGUUACCAGAUCUUCUCAAAAUAUUUUUGUUCUGAAAUUAACAGAGAUCAACAGUUUCUUACCUUGUCAUCCACAAAUUUUGCCCAAAAACGUGCCAUGGCUUUCUCAUAAGGAUCCUGAGGUAGCAAAGGAGCUGUUUCGUUCCAUGUCUCAUCGAUAUACUCGAGAAUCACGAGUGAUUCACAGAUUGGUUUGCCUUUGUGUACAAGUACAGGAAUCUUUUUGUGAACAGGAUUAUACUGGAGGAGUUCAGAGCUCUUCUGGGUUAAAUCUUCAAAUAUGGCUUCGUAUUCAAUCCCUUUGAUAUGCAGCGCCCAAACGAUCCUCAAACCAAAUGGACUUGACCAUGUCCUGUAAAGCUUCACUUCAUCUGCCAUGUUUGUUUUAAUUUGCAAUUGAUAUCUGCAAGCUAAUGUUUAUUUAUACACUCACAAUUUUAUUUAUAUUUUAAGCUAAAGAUGAUUUGGACUAAUUACCUUAUCACAACAGUAUGUGUGGAUAUGACAAGUCCAAUGACUUGUUUCACUUCGUCUUUUCUAUUGUAUUCCAAAACUUUGUGCUUUAGUGUAAGAAUUUUAGGAAGAAAUGUGUAGGGAAUUUUGAUUGAUUUUUGUGAGAUGAAUUUACAAAUGGAUGUUCAUCUAUUUAUAUUACUAAUUUAGGGAUAAAAGUGUAAAUAAUUAUUAUUAUUUAAAUUCCUAUAUAUUUACAAAAUAGUCAUAUUACUAGAAUUCUCUACGUGUCUAGAAUUUUCUAAGGACUUUUCAGGUAAAAAAUCUAUGAUAUUCUAGUUUCUACAUGAGAUUCUCACAUUUCUCUAGAACUUUCUACUAUGGACUAGUCUUCUUCCAAUAUAAUCUCUCGCAACUUUGUGUCAUGUGAAACUUACGUGGUGCUUAUGUGGCAUGAUGACGUGACAAGUCGUCAUAUUUAUUCCUAAAAAAUUCUCAAGCAUAUUAAUAAUUAGGGAUAAUUGCACUUUUGACCCUUCAAUUAAUCGCAAAAUUUUAUUUUGGUCCUUAUAUUAUAUGUUAUAUGAUUUAAUAUAUUUAACUUCUUAAAAAAAUAUAAAAUGUACGUUUUAGCCCUUUUAUAAAGAAAAAUAUUAUAUUUGGAUUCAUUUUAGAAGUACAUCAUAAGCUUUAACAUAACUUCUUACGAAUUAAAUGAUGGAAUAAUUAACAAUUUUGUGAAUAUUAACAAGAGAAAGCUAAGUGGUUAUCUGCAGAAUGGAAGAUUGCAAGAUGCUCUGCACCUGUUUCAUAUGAUGCCAUGGAGGAAUGCAGUAUCAUGGAAUUCGAAAAAGGUGUAGCAAAGUUGCCUAUGGGUAUGGAGAGUUGUUACUUUAGCAAUCAUGUAUGUCGUCUGGUAUUUUUCAUGAUACAUAGUCCAGAAAGCAUAUCCAAAAGUACUUGAUCAUACAAACAUCAGUUUAUUGUUAUUUCCAUAACCUAUAAGACACAUACUGCAACAAUUUUCACCAUUUAAUUUGAUGUCGUCUGGUAUUUUUCAUGGAGCAGUUGGUAUUUGGUUACUAGUCUGUCUCGUGGUGGCAAGUGUUGUUUGAUUGCCGGAGCAUCACAAAAGUUUUUCAUCCAUCCUGACAAGAGAGGAAAUUUGUGUGCAUCAAACAACUUCAGAUCGAUUACCUCCUCAAACACAUCAAGAAGAAACGCCAUCCAACCAAGUACAAGAUCCACAUAUCCUAUACUUUCUCCACCAAAAAAUUUCUUCCCUUUCAAUUGCUCUUCAAUGAGUUCUAGAUUUUGCACUGCUGGAACAAGAGCUUCCUUUUUCGCCUCAUAUCCUUUUUCUGUGAAAACACUCGUUACUGAUGGCAGAAGCUGCAGAUCAUGAAAGACAAAUAUCAACGAAAAUAUUGAUCAAUUCAGUAACUGAAAAUGCCUAUUGUCCGACUGAUCACUUUGCUCAAAUGUUAAUAUACAGGUGCAACUCAAUAAAAUUAGUGGUCUAAAGUCAAAUUAUAUAGAUACAUAUGUUAAUGUACUCAAUAAAAUUAGUGGUCUAAAGCCAAAUUAUAUAGAUACAUGAAAAUAGUUACUUGUUCUGAAAUUAACAGAGAUCAAUGGUAUCGAUCUUACCUUGUCAUCCACAAAUUUUGCCCAAAAACGUGCCAUGGCUUUCUCAUAAGGAUCCUGAGGUAGCAAAGGAGUUGUUUCCUUCUUCCAUGUCUCAUCGAUAUACUCAAGAAUUACGAGUGAUUCACAGAUUGGUUUGCCUUGGUGUACAAGUACAGGAACUUUUUUAUGAACAGGAUUAUACUGGAGGAGUUGAGGGCUCUUAUG